This 463-nucleotide ribosomal RNA is filed under the name Conogonia sp. PR200. RNAcentral describes it as "partial large subunit ribosomal RNA". Lineage: Eukaryota; Metazoa; Arthropoda; Insecta; Hemiptera; Cicadellidae. The record is from RNAcentral.
UAGUUUAUAUUAAAGGUAAGUUCUGCCCUAUGAUUUAAUUUAAAUGGCUGCAGUAUUUUGACUGUGCAAAGGUAGCAUAAUAAUUAGUCAUUUAAUUGUUGACUUGUAUGAAUGAUUAUAUGAGAAAUAGUUUUUAUUUAUAUUAAAAGUAAAAUUUUAUUUUUAGGUAAAAAAGCUUAAUUAUUAUUUAGGGACGAUAAGACCCUAUAGAACUUUAUUAUUUUCUGCAUAUAAAAAACAAGUAAUUAUUUUUAAAUAUAUUUAAAAUAAUUUAGUUGGGGCGACUGGUAAAUUUUUGUACUUUACUUUUUUAUUUCAUUUUUUUAUGAUUUUAUGAUCCUAUAUUUGUUUAGAUUAAAAGUUUUAGUUACCUUAGGGAUAACAGCGUAAUUUUAAUGGGGAGUCCAUAUUUAUAUUGAAGUUUGCGACCUCGAUGUUGAAUUAAGAUAAGUUUAGGGGGUAG